Molecule: ribosomal RNA, 1542 nt
Filed under: Salmonella enterica subsp. arizonae serovar 62:z4,z23:-
Lineage: Bacteria; Pseudomonadati; Pseudomonadota; Gammaproteobacteria; Enterobacterales; Enterobacteriaceae
Description: Salmonella enterica subsp. arizonae serovar 62:z4,z23:-- Bacterial small subunit ribosomal RNA
Rfam family: Bacterial small subunit ribosomal RNA
Source: Rfam by way of RNAcentral
AAAUUGAAGAGUUUGAUCAUGGCUCAGAUUGAACGCUGGCGGCAGGCCUAACACAUGCAAGUCGAACGGUAACAGGAAGCAGCUUGCUGCUUCGCUGACGAGUGGCGGACGGGUGAGUAAUGUCUGGGAAACUGCCUGAUGGAGGGGGAUAACUACUGGAAACGGUAGCUAAUACCGCAUAAUGUCGCAGGACCAAAGAGGGGGACCUUCGGGCCUCUUGCCAUCAGAUGUGCCCAGAUGGGAUUAGCUAGUUGGUGAGGUAACGGCUCACCAAGGCGACGAUCCCUAGCUGGUCUGAGAGGAUGACCAGCCACACUGGAACUGAGACACGGUCCAGACUCCUACGGGAGGCAGCAGUGGGGAAUAUUGCACAAUGGGCGCAAGCCUGAUGCAGCCAUGCCGCGUGUAUGAAGAAGGCCUUCGGGUUGUAAAGUACUUUCAGCGGGGAGGAAGGGGAUAAGGCUAAUAACCUUGUUCAUUGACGUUACCCGCAGAAGAAGCACCGGCUAACUCCGUGCCAGCAGCCGCGGUAAUACGGAGGGUGCAAGCGUUAAUCGGAAUUACUGGGCGUAAAGCGCACGCAGGCGGUCUGUCAAGUCGGAUGUGAAAUCCCCGGGCUCAACCUGGGAACUGCAUUCGAAACUGGCAGGCUUGAGUCUUGUAGAGGGGGGUAGAAUUCCAGGUGUAGCGGUGAAAUGCGUAGAGAUCUGGAGGAAUACCGGUGGCGAAGGCGGCCCCCUGGACAAAGACUGACGCUCAGGUGCGAAAGCGUGGGGAGCAAACAGGAUUAGAUACCCUGGUAGUCCACGCCGUAAACGAUGUCUACUUGGAGGUUGUGCCCUUGAGGCGUGGCUUCCGGAGCUAACGCGUUAAGUAGACCGCCUGGGGAGUACGGCCGCAAGGUUAAAACUCAAAUGAAUUGACGGGGGCCCGCACAAGCGGUGGAGCAUGUGGUUUAAUUCGAUGCAACGCGAAGAACCUUACCUGGUCUUGACAUCCACAGAACUUUCCAGAGAUGGAUUGGUGCCUUCGGGAACUGUGAGACAGGUGCUGCAUGGCUGUCGUCAGCUCGUGUUGUGAAAUGUUGGGUUAAGUCCCGCAACGAGCGCAACCCUUAUCCUUUGUUGCCAGCGGUCCGGCCGGGAACUCAAAGGAGACUGCCAGUGAUAAACUGGAGGAAGGUGGGGAUGACGUCAAGUCAUCAUGGCCCUUACGACCAGGGCUACACACGUGCUACAAUGGCGCAUACAAAGAGAAGCGACCUCGCGAGAGCAAGCGGACCUCAUAAAGUGCGUCGUAGUCCGGACUGGAGUCUGCAACUCGACUCCAUGAAGUCGGAAUCGCUAGUAAUCGUGGAUCAGAAUGCCACGGUGAAUACGUUCCCGGGCCUUGUACACACCGCCCGUCACACCAUGGGAGUGGGUUGCAAAAGAAGUAGGUAGCUUAACCUUCGGGAGGGCGCUUACCACUUUGUGAUUCAUGACUGGGGUGAAGUCGUAACAAGGUAACCGUAGGGGAACCUGCGGUUGGAUCACCUCCUUA